RNAcentral lists this ribosomal RNA (488 nucleotides) under uncultured bacterium. RNAcentral's name for it is "partial 16S ribosomal RNA". It matches the Rfam family "Bacterial small subunit ribosomal RNA", at positions 30 to 507 of the family's 1533-position model. The record is from RNAcentral.
UGAACGCUGGCGGCAGGCCUAACACAUGCAAGUCGACCGGUAACAGGAAACAGCUUGCUGUUUCGCUGACGAGUGGCGGACGGGUGAGUAAUGUCUGGGAAACUGCCUGAUGGAGGGGGAUAACUACUGGAAACGGUAGCUAAUACCGCAUAACGUCGCAAGACCAAAGAGGGGGACCUUCGGGCCUCUUGCCAUCGGAUGUGCCCAGAUGGGAUUAGCUAGUAGGUGGGGUAACGGCUCACCUAGGCGACGAUCCCUAGCUGGUCUGAGAGGAUGACCAGCCACACUGGAACUGAGACACGGUCCAGACUCCUACGGGAGGCAGCAGUGGGGAAUAUUGCACAAUGGGCGCAAGCCUGAUGCAGCCAUGCCGCGUGUAUGAAGAAGGCCUUCGGGUUGUAAAGUACUUUCAGCGGGGAUGAAGGGAGUAAAGUUAAUACCUUUGCUCAUUGACGUUACCCGCAGAAGAAGCACCGGCUAACUCCGUG